Molecule: ribosomal RNA, 465 nt
Filed under: Vreelandella stevensii
Lineage: Bacteria; Pseudomonadati; Pseudomonadota; Gammaproteobacteria; Oceanospirillales; Halomonadaceae
Description: partial 16S ribosomal RNA
Rfam family: Bacterial small subunit ribosomal RNA
Source: RNAcentral
CCUAUGGGAGGCAGCAGUGGGGAAUAUUGGACAAUGGGGGGAACCCUGAUCCAGCCAUGCCGCGUGUGUGAAGAAGGCCCUCGGGUUGUAAAGCACUUUCAGUGAGGAAGAACGCCUGGUGGUUAAUACCCAUCAGGAAAGACAUCACUCACAGAAGAAGCACCGGCUAACUCCGUGCCAGCAGCCGCGGUAAUACGGAGGGUGCGAGCGUUAAUCGGAAUUACUGGGCGUAAAGCGCGCGUAGGUGGCUUGAUAAGCCGGUUGUGAAAGCCCCGGGCUCAACCUGGGAACGGCAUCCGGAACUGUCAAGCUAGAGUGCAGGAGAGGAAGGUAGAAUUCCCGGUGUAGCGGUGACAUGCGUAGAGAUCGGGAGGAAUACCAGUGGCGAAGGCGGCCUUCUGGACUGACACUGACACUGAGGUGCGAAAGCGUGGGUAGCAAACAGGAUUAGAUACCCUGGUAGUC